AAAAGUUACCAAUCGCGAGCUCCCUUCGGCCACUCCACCAUCAUCAGCAAUUCAGGGAGCCCGCCGGCCCGCCCCGCCCCGCCUCGUUACCCGCCCACCCACCGCUGCUUCUGCCCGACUGCUCCAUGGAGGGGACCACGCAACCCACCGCGGGGGCGCGGGAAAAGCUGCUCCCCACCUCCGCCGCCGCCUCUCUGCCGCCCUACCUCGACCCGCACCCCGCCGACUCCUCCUCCUACGCGGUCCUCCUCGUCCCCGUCCGCCGCCGCCUGCGCCGCGGCGGCCGCUGCAUCGCCCCCUGCCUCACCGCCCUCCUCCUCGCGCUCGCGGGCUUCCUCCUCUGGCCGGCCGACCCGGACAUCUCCCUCGCCCGCUUCCACCUGGGGCACGUCUCCGUCGUGGCGCGCCCCGCCGUCGCCGUCACCAUAUCCGCCGCGCUCAAGGUCCGCGUCCGCAACCCGGACCUCUUCGCGCUCGACUACACCCGCCUCGACGUCGCCAUCGGCUACCGCGGCAAGCCGCUUGGCCUGGUAACGUCCGGCGGCGGACGGGUCCAGGCGCGCGCUGUCUCGUACGUCGACGCCAACCUGCAGCUCGACGGCAUACGCGUCGUCGAGGACGCGAUCUACCUGCUCAAGGACCUCGCGCGGGGAUCCGUGCCCUUUGACGCCCUCGCCGAGGUCGAGGGUCACCUUCACUUCUUCUUCCUCAGUAUCCCGGUCAAGGUGAAGUGUUGAUUUCUUGUUUGUUAGUAUAUUGUUAUAUGCAGAUCUCAUGAAUUGGAUUACAACCUGUGUCAGUGUUGAUUUUCUCCUAUGGUAAUGCGAAUUGCAAAAGCCCCAUAUCUCUAUGACGAUAAAUUUGGUAGGAUGAGGUGAAGCAAGUUAGAAUUUCCGCUGCGGACAAGAGUUUAGCAUUGCCCACACAGUUUAUCUGACAUGAUUCUUAACUCUUAAGGUCCAUACGAUGUCUAAUGCAUUAUAGAGAGAAACCAAUACAGGACGGUGCAGCACAAAAAUUGUGAGGAAAGAAGAUCUACACAAUCUUCUUGCAUUGAUCUAGAUACCAUUCAUCUGUCAGACAUGGUAUGUCCAUCAUAUUCAGAACAUUCAUGGCGUAAUGUUAGCAGGAUACAUGCUCUAAGUCUCUGAUUCUUGAUUCACUAAAUGAUAUAUUAUUUGUUAUAUCUGUAAAAGAACAUAACGAGACAUGUCGUAAAUACUUAGCAUGAUCAGUGACAAGUUACCUCCUGUAUCUAGAUAUCAUUUCUCUAUAAGAUUUUGUUUCAAGAUGUAACAGUAAUUUAGUAUGUUGCCUCUGUAAGAAUGCAUGGUAAUCAAACAUAUCCUUUGUUUGAAAAUUUUCUAUCUCCAUGUUUAUUAAUCCUUGAAUGAAGUGUUUGAUUUACAGUAAUAAAUUGCAAUCAUUAAGGGAUACCUAGUAAGAGGGAGAGUAGUGAUAGAUCUAAUAACACAUGAGAAGAAGAAUACUCGUCAACAUUUCACAUGUUCCUUGUGUCUUUAACUGUUAUCAUUUCUCACUUCGUGGUACCACUUCUCUACGGAUUUAUGGAACUACUGGGGAGAAUAUCUUGCGUGGUUCAUGUUAAUCCACACAACCAAACUAUAGUACAUCAGGACUGCUACCCCGAGUGAAAUGCUUACGGCGUGGAAGGAUGUGUGCUAUCUUGCCUCGCGAAUGAAUCGUUUGGUUCGUUUCUAAGCUUCGCUUGGAGCCGUUGUAAAAGUAAGAAACAACUAAACUCUACUGGAUAAUGUGCCUAUUGUAAAGCCGUUAACACGUCAUGUUAAUAUCAAUCAGUUUCCCUACAAUGAGAAAAUUGAUAUUUCGCAUUGGUGUUA
Molecule: RNA transcript, 1862 nt
Organism: Zea mays
Lineage: Eukaryota; Viridiplantae; Streptophyta; Magnoliopsida; Poales; Poaceae
Exons: 3
Source: RefSeq, a predicted model, not a curated record